CCUACGGGUGGCAGCAGUGGGGAAUAUUGGACAAUGGGCGAAAGCCUGAUCCAGCCAUGCCGCGUGUGUGAAGAAGGCCUUCGGGUUGUAAAGCACUUUCAGUGGGGAAGAAAGCCUUGGGGCUAAUACCCUCGAGGAAGGACAUCACCCACAGAAGAAGCACCGGCUAACUCCGUGCCAGCAGCCGCGGUAAUACGGGGGGUGCGAGCGUUAAUCGGAAUUACUGGGCGUAAAGCGCGCGUAGGCGGUCUGAUAAGCCGGUUGUGAAAGCCCCGGGCUCAACCUGGGAACGGCAUCCGGAACUGUCAGGCUAGAGUGCAGGAGAGGAAGGUAGAAUUCCCGGUGUAGCAGUGAAAUGCGUAGAGAUCGGGAGGAAUACCAGUGGCGAAGGCGGCCUUCUGGACUGACACUGACGCUGAGGUGCGAAAGCGUGGGUAGCAAACAGGAUUAGAUACCCCAGUAGUC
Molecule: ribosomal RNA, 465 nt
Filed under: Vreelandella stevensii
Lineage: Bacteria; Pseudomonadati; Pseudomonadota; Gammaproteobacteria; Oceanospirillales; Halomonadaceae
Description: partial 16S ribosomal RNA
Rfam family: Bacterial small subunit ribosomal RNA
Source: RNAcentral